CGUGUUGCAGGUGCGCACGGUGUUUGGAUGCGUCGCAUCCGAACUGAAACGGGAACGGGGAAUGGUGUUGAGCCAGAGCCCCGACCGCCCCCGCGACUGUGAGCGGCGAGUAACUUUCGAUGGUGCCACUGGCACGGGCUUCGGCCCAGCCGGGAAGGCGGAAGGUUGCAGCGACCCGCGAGUCAGGAGACCGGCCGAGCGCAUGACAUCAAC
This 213-nucleotide non-coding RNA is filed under the name Rhodomicrobium vannielii. RNAcentral also lists the same sequence under 1 other name. The record is from RNAcentral. Lineage: Bacteria; Pseudomonadati; Pseudomonadota; Alphaproteobacteria; Hyphomicrobiales; Hyphomicrobiaceae.